AUAACGACUCUCGGCAACGGAUAUCUCGGCUCUCGCAUCGAUGAAGAACGCAGCGAAAUGCGAUACCUGGUGUGAAUUGCAGAAUCCCGUGAAUCAUCGAGUCUUUGAACGCAAGUUGCACCCGAGACCAUCAGGUCGAGGGCACGCCUGCCUGGGCGUCACG
RNAcentral lists this ribosomal RNA (163 nucleotides) under Alepis flavida. Its description in RNAcentral is "5.8S ribosomal RNA". It matches the Rfam family "5.8S ribosomal RNA". From Rfam's summary of the family: 5.8S ribosomal RNA (5.8S rRNA) is a component of the large subunit of the eukaryotic ribosome. It is transcribed by RNA polymerase I as part of the 45S precursor that also contains 18S and 28S rRNA. The record is from RNAcentral. Lineage: Eukaryota; Viridiplantae; Streptophyta; Magnoliopsida; Santalales; Loranthaceae.